This 333-nucleotide ribosomal RNA is filed under the name uncultured eukaryote. RNAcentral describes it as "partial 18S ribosomal RNA". It matches the Rfam family "Eukaryotic small subunit ribosomal RNA", at positions 1470 to 1796 of the family's 1831-position model. The record is from RNAcentral.
CCCUUAGAUGUUCGGGGCCGCACGCGCGCUACACUGAAUGAAUCAGCGAGUGUAUGUCCUAGGCCGAAAGGUCCGGGUAACCCGUUGAACCUCAUUCGUGAUUGGGAUAGGGACUUGCAAUUGUUUCCCUUGAACGAGGAAUUCCCAGUAAGCGCAAGUCAUAAGCUCGCGUUGAUUACGUCCCUGCCCUUUGUACACACCGCCCGUCGCUACUACCGAUUGAACGGUUUAGUGAGGGCCUCGGAUUGGUCUCGGCCCGCUCUUUACCGGGCGGCGCCGUUGGUCGAGAAGACGCUCGAACUUGAUCGUUUAGAGGAAGUAAAAGUCGUAACA